Molecule: ribosomal RNA, 454 nt
Filed under: uncultured bacterium
Lineage: Bacteria
Description: partial 16S ribosomal RNA
Rfam family: Bacterial small subunit ribosomal RNA
Source: RNAcentral
GAUGAACGCUGACAGAAUGCUUAACACAUGCAAGUCUACUUGAACUUCGGUUUGGGUGGCGGACGGGUGAGUAACGCGUACAGAACUUGCCUCACAGCUAGGGACAACAUUUGGAAACGAAUGCUAAUACCUGAUAUUAUGAUUAUAUGGCAUCGUAUAAUUAUGAAAGCUAUAUGCGCUGUGAGAGAGCUUUGCGUCCCAUUAGCUAGUUGGAGAGGUAACAGCUCACCAAGGCGAUGAUGGGUAGCCGGCCUGAGAGGGUGAUCGGCCACAAGGGGACUGAGACACGGCCCGUACUCCUACGGGAGGCAGCAGUGGGGAAUAUGGGACAAUGGACCGAGAGUCUGAUCCAGCAAUUCUGUGUGCACGAUGAAGUUUUUCGGAAUGUAAAGUGCUUUCAGUUGGGAAGAAAAAAAUGACGGUACCAACAGAAGAAGUGACGGCUAAAUACGUG